Molecule: ribosomal RNA, 492 nt
Filed under: uncultured bacterium
Lineage: Bacteria
Description: partial 16S ribosomal RNA
Rfam family: Bacterial small subunit ribosomal RNA
Source: RNAcentral
AGUGAACGCUGGCGGUAGGCCUAACACAUGCAAGUCGAACGGCAGCACAGUAAGAGCUUGCUCUUACGGGUGGCGAGUGGCGGACGGGUGAGGAAUACAUCGGAAUCUACUUUUUCGUGGGGGAUAACGUAGGGAAACUUACGCUAAUACCGCAUACGACCUACGGGUGAAAGCAGUGGAUCUUCGGACCUUGCGCGAUUGAAUGAGCCGAUGUCGGAUUAGCUAGUUGGCGGGGUAAAGGCCCACCAAGGCGACGAUCCGUAGCUGGUCUGAGAGGAUGAUCAGCCACACUAGAACUGAGACACGGUCCAGACUCCUAAGGGAAGCAGCAGUGGGGAAUAUUGGACAAUGGGCGCAAGUCUGAACCAGCCAAACCGCGUGAGUGAAGAAGGCCUUCGGGUUGUAAAACCCUUUUGUUGGGAAAGAAAAGCAGCAGGUUAAUACCCCGCUGUUCUGACGGUACCCAAAGAAUAAGCACCGGCUAACUUCGUG